Long non-coding RNA from Oncorhynchus keta (chum salmon), 847 nucleotides. RefSeq lists it as uncharacterized. The transcript has 5 exons. NCBI's taxonomy places the organism in Eukaryota, Metazoa, Chordata, Actinopteri, Salmoniformes, Salmonidae. The record is from RefSeq and is a predicted model, not a curated record.
UUUGAAGUUGCCUAACAUUUUGACCACGUUCAUUUUAUGUUUUGUUGUCAGAAACAACAGAAGGAUUCGUUGGAGGCUCACAGACGGAGACGAGAGGAUUUCAUCACUGUUCUAAAUGGAGACGAGGACAAGAUGGAGAGCAUCAAGGUAAAGACCUGUGUGAUACAGAGACGAGGACAAGAUGGAGAGCAUCAAGGUAAAGACCUGUGUGUGAUACAGAGACGAGGACAAGAUGGAGAGCAUCAAGGUAAAGACCUGUGUGUGAUACAGAGACGAGGACAAGAUGGAGAGCAUCAAGGUAAAGACCUGUGUGUGAUACAGAGACGAGGACAAGAUGGAGAGCAUCAAGGUAAAGACCUGUGUGUGAUACAGAGACGAGGACAAGAUGGAGAGCAUCAAGGUAAAGACCUGUGUGUGAUACAGAGACGAGGACAAGAUGGAGAGCAUCAAGGUAAAGACCUGUGUGUGAUACAGAGACGAGGACAAGAUGGAGAGCAUCAAGGUAAAGACCUGUGUGUGAUACAGAGACGAGGACAAGAUGGAGAGCAUCAAGGUAAAGACCUGUGUGUGAUACAGAGACGAGGACAAGAUGGAGAGCAUCAAGGUAAAGACCUGUGUGUGAUACAGAGACGAGGACAAGAUGGAGAGCAUCAAGGUAAAGACCUACCUGUGUGAUACAGAGACGAGGACAAGAUGGAGAGCAUCAAGGUAAAGACCUGUGUGUGAUACAGAGACGAGGACAAGAUGGAGAGCAUCAAGGUAAAGACCUGUGUGUGAUACAGAGACGAGGACAAGAUGGAGAGCAUCAAGGUAAAGACCUGUGUGAUACAGAGACGAGGACAAGAUG